This 71-nucleotide transfer RNA is filed under the name Minisyncoccota bacterium. RNAcentral's name for it is "tRNA-Trp". It matches the Rfam family "tRNA". From Rfam's summary of the family: Transfer RNA (tRNA) molecules are approximately 80 nucleotides in length. Lineage: Bacteria; Bacillati; Minisyncoccota. The record is from RNAcentral.
GGGCGAUUAGUUUAGUGGUAGAACGUCGGUUUCCAAAACCGAUAGUGGGGGUUCGAUUCCUCCAUCGCCCG